RNAcentral lists this ribosomal RNA (623 nucleotides) under uncultured fungus. RNAcentral's name for it is "eukaryotic LSU rRNA". The stretch from base 228 to 381 matches the Rfam family "5.8S ribosomal RNA". The record is from RNAcentral. Lineage: Eukaryota; Fungi.
UAGAGGAAGUAAAAGUCGUAACAAGGUUUCCGUAGGUGAACCUGCGGAAGGAUCAUUAUCGAAUUAUAAGCGAGGGUUGUUGCUGGCCUCUUUCGAGGCACGUGCACGCCCGAGCUCUUAAAUCCACAACACACCUGUGAACCCACCGUAGGCCUUCGGGCUUAUGUAUCAUUAUACUCUGAAUGUGUCAUAGAAUGUUCAUGUUGCCUUAAAACGCAAUCAAAUACAACUUUCAACAACGGAUCUCUUGGCUCNCGCAUCGAUGAAGAACGCAGCGANAUGCGAUAAGUAAUGUGAAUUGCAGAAUUCAGUGAAUCAUCGAAUCUUUGAACGCACCUUGCGCUCCUUGGUAUUCCGAGGAGCAUGCCUGUUUGAGUGUCAUUUGACUUAUCAAACCACCUCGUCUGCUUGGUGGCUUUGGAUGUUGGGGGUCUUUGCAGGCUUUGAACUAAAGGUCGGCUCCCCUGAAACGCAUUAGUGGCAUCNGAGCUGCUACUAUAGGUGUGAUAAAUUAUCUAUGCCUUUGGUAUGCCGCAUGNACAGAUUGCGCUGCUCACAACAAAACUUGACAAACUUGACCUCAAAUCAGGUAGGACUACCCGCUGAACUUAAGCAUAUCAAUA